RNAcentral lists this transfer RNA (71 nucleotides) under Sorex araneus (European shrew). Its description in RNAcentral is "tRNA-Gly (GCC) (tRNA-Gly-GCC-8-1)". It matches the Rfam family "tRNA". From Rfam's summary of the family: Transfer RNA (tRNA) molecules are approximately 80 nucleotides in length. Their secondary structure includes four short double-helical elements and three loops (D, anti-codon, and T loops). Further hydrogen bonds mediate the characteristic L-shaped molecular structure. tRNAs have two regions of fundamental functional importance: the anti-codon, which is responsible for specific mRNA codon recognition, and the 3' end, to which the tRNAs corresponding amino acid is attached (by aminoacyl-tRNA synthetases). tRNAs cope with the degeneracy of the genetic code in two manners: having more than one tRNA (with a specific anti-codon) for a particular amino acid; and 'wobble' base-pairing, i.e. permitting non-standard base-pairing at the 3rd anti-codon position. Lineage: Eukaryota; Metazoa; Chordata; Mammalia; Eulipotyphla; Soricidae. The record is from RNAcentral.
GCAUGGGUGGUUCAGUGGUAGAGUUCUCUCCUGCCACGGGGGAGGCCCGGGUUCAAUUCCCGGCCCAUGCA